GGCUGGUCUGAGUGCAGUCGUGUUUACAGCUAAUCGAUCACAACCAGUUACAGAUCCCUUUGUUCCUUCUCCACUACUUCAGUUGACCAGCCUAAA
Molecule: unclassified non-coding RNA, 96 nt
Organism: Prolemur simus (greater bamboo lemur)
Lineage: Eukaryota; Metazoa; Chordata; Mammalia; Primates; Lemuridae
Rfam family: Y RNA
About the family: Y RNAs are components of the Ro ribonucleoprotein particle (Ro RNP), in association with Ro60 and La proteins. The Y RNAs and Ro60 and La proteins are well conserved, but the function of the Ro RNP is not known.
Source: Ensembl